This 315-nucleotide ribosomal RNA is filed under the name uncultured bacterium. Its description in RNAcentral is "bacterial SSU rRNA". It matches the Rfam family "Bacterial small subunit ribosomal RNA", at positions 28 to 334 of the family's 1533-position model. The record is from RNAcentral.
GAUGAACGCUAGCGACAGGCUUAACACAUGCAAGUCGAGGGGCAGCAUGAACUUAGCUUGCUAAGUUUGAUGGCGACCGGCGCACGGGUGAGUAACGCGUAUGCAACUUACCUAUCAGAGGAGAAUAGCUCAUCGAAAGAUGAAUUAAUGCCCGAUGGUAUCUUAAGCACGCAUGAGAUUAAGAUUAAAGAUUUAUCGGUAAGCGAUGGGGAUGCGUUCCAUUAGGCAGUUGGCGGGGUAACGGCCCACCAAACCUACGAUGGAUAGGGGUUCUGAGAGGAAGGUCCCCCACAUUGGAACUGAGACACGGUCCAA